AGAGUUUGAUCCUGGCUCAGGACGAACGCUGGCGGCGUGCCUAAUACAUGCAAGUCGAGCGGACAGAAGGGAGCUUGCUCCCGGAUGUUAGCGGCGGACGGGUGAGUAACACGUGGGUAACCUGCCUGUAAGACUGGGAUAACUCCGGGAAACCGGAGCUAAUACCGGAUAGUUCCUUGAACCGCAUGGUUCAAGGAUGAAAGACGGUUUCGGCUGUCACUUACAGAUGGACCCGCGGCGCAUUAGCUAGUUGGUGGGGUAAUGGCUCACCAAGGCGACGAUGCGUAGCCGACCUGAGAGGGUGAUCGGCCACACUGGGACUGAGACACGGCCCAGACUCCUACGGGAGGCAGCAGUAGGGAAUCUUCCGCAAUGGACGAAAGUCUGACGGAGCAACGCCGCGUGAGUGAUGAAGGUUUUCGGAUCGUAAAGCUCUGUUGUUAGGGAAGAACAAGUGCGAGAGUAACUGCUCGCACCUUGACGGUACCUAACCAGAAAGCCACGGCUAACUACGUGCCAGCAGCCGCGGUAAUACGUAAGGUGGCAAGCGUUGUCCGGAAUUAUUGGGCGUAAAGGGGCUCGCAGGCGGUUUCUUAAGUCU
RNAcentral lists this ribosomal RNA (601 nucleotides) under Bacillus sp. 8-16. Its description in RNAcentral is "bacterial SSU rRNA". It matches the Rfam family "Bacterial small subunit ribosomal RNA", at positions 8 to 590 of the family's 1533-position model. The record is from RNAcentral. Lineage: Bacteria; Bacillati; Bacillota; Bacilli; Caryophanales; Bacillaceae.